Long non-coding RNA from Polypterus senegalus (gray bichir), 893 nucleotides. RefSeq lists it as uncharacterized. The record is from RefSeq and is a predicted model, not a curated record. Lineage: Eukaryota; Metazoa; Chordata; Cladistia; Polypteriformes; Polypteridae. The transcript has 3 exons.
UUAUGUAAACAGAGAAUCGCCAGGUAGACUUGAGGAAAGCCAAAUGAUAAACUGAGGAAAAGAAGUAAAGAAAUCUGAGGAGUCAUCCUUUGAAUGGAGGGCAAUGGCGGACGUAUAUGUUGUCCACCUGAAUUUCAAAGAGAGACACUUCUUCGUCAAAACUUAAAACAAAAGCUGCGUUCAGAAUUUUUCAUUUUGUCCUUUGAAUAAAAUGGACACCCUUUGUCUGAGUGUGGACGUGCCAAAGGAGGCAGGGCCACCUAAUUGUGCACCUGGUGCACUGGCUGCAGUUCGGCAUUUUUGGUCUGUGCUGCAUGAUCCCAAGGUCCUGGCUUUGAUCCUUGUUUUCAUUCUUAGCUCCUGUCCUCAUGUUGAAUAAUGGAAACUAAAGACCCCAAAGAGUAGAAGCCGGCCAACGUAUCUUAUGAAGCAAUGAAACCCACCCGAGAAACCACAAAUUCCUGUGAAGCUAAUUGUCCCAAAACAUUAUGGUGCCCUGAAAUGGGGGGCCGUGCAUAAAAAAUAUUGUCAUUAAUGAAAUGUAUGCGAAUCCCCUUAAAUGAAAGUCUGCAAUGUGCACUUUAAUCUCAUGUGAAUUGUUUGAUUUGUAAUUUUCAAUUGUGGAGCAGAGGAGUAAAUCAAAGAAAAAAAAAAUUGUCUUUGUCCCAAACAUUAUGGAUGGCACUGCAUAUGCUUAUGUUGCACUGCUGUGUUUACUGCGGAAAUGUGUUUUUCUUAUCUGUUAUCUAUUGACUAUCAGCUCAUUAAUUGUGUUGUCUCAUGUUUAAUUUGUAUUUACUGGUGGCUGGAAGAGCAUGCCGAGUAAGAUUUUCAUUGUAUAGUGUGACUGACUCUUUACUGUGCAUAUGACAAUAAACUAUCAUCUCCCAGAA